AUAUUUCGGAACUGAGUCUAGUUCCUUCGAUAUCAGUGUAAUCUAACACUGAUAUCGAAGGAACUAGACUUUAGAUUACACUGAUAUCGAAGGAACUAGACUCAGUUCCGAAAUAU
Molecule: non-coding RNA, 116 nt
Organism: Paramuricea clavata
Lineage: Eukaryota; Metazoa; Cnidaria; Anthozoa; Malacalcyonacea; Plexauridae
Source: the annotation of a GenBank genome assembly